RNAcentral lists this long non-coding RNA (351 nucleotides) under Vigna radiata. Its description in RNAcentral is "long non-coding RNA (VRAD_LNC012785)". Lineage: Eukaryota; Viridiplantae; Streptophyta; Magnoliopsida; Fabales; Fabaceae. The record is from RNAcentral.
UUGAUUGCAAUUACCAGCCAUUGCUUGGAACAAUCUGAGAUGGGGGUCAAUUGGUAGGCCAAGAGUCUCAUAAGCAGGGUCAUAGAGAGAGUUGCUGAAACUCACAAAAACAUGACUGUUAAAAUCACAACAGAUAUUGUGAAAAAAGAUAUAAGAACUAUGAGGAUUGGAGAACCAAACCUAAUAAAUUCCCUAUUGUUUCCAGAGUUAAUGGUCAGAUCCACAACCCUUGGAUUUUCAGGUGCAUUGUUUGGUCCCUGGAGUGCAGGGCCUACAUUAGGUCCUUAAUUUCGUGGUGGUGAAUUCGUCUGCUACAAUAGAAAAACAAAACAAGCAUAAGAACCUCAAAAU